GAAAAAAGCCGGUGGAACCUACGACUGCGACAUGCUUGAUCUCUUCGAACUUGGCUCAAGCUCCUACCCAUUCUACCUGAUCAAUAUUCGAAUUCCGAUUAAUCAGCAGGCGUGCCAAUUCGAUAAUAAAAGUGCAAAUUGUCAAAUUGGGAAGCUCACCGGCCUACGACUCAUCGAAAUUCAUCAAAACGGAGGAUUCACACUUGUUUGGCUUUGGACUAAGACUUUUAUGACACCAGUUGUGGCGAUUUGCCUGUGGUGGUAUUAUAAUAGAGUUCGUAUAUUUUUGGAAAUGUUUUGUUUAAAAAAUAAAAAAAAAUUGGAAAAAAAAUCGAAAAUUUGGAAAAUUUAGAAUUAAAAAAAAAAAAUUUGAAACAUUCAAAAAAAAUUCGAAAAAGUUCAGAAAUUUCGUUUAAAAAUCUUAAAAAUUCAACAAAAAACAAAAAUUUCGAAAAAUUCAAAAAAAGUUCACAAAAAUUCGAAAAAUGUUCAGAAUUUUCGGUUAAAAAAAAAAAUCUAGAAAAUUUCGAAAAUUUCGAAAAAUCCAUAAAAUGUUUUUUAAAAAUCUGAAAAUUUUCAAAAUUUUCAAAAAAAUUCGUAAAUUUCAAAAAUUUGGAAAAAAAAUCAAAAAUUUCCAAAAAUCUCGAACAUUUGGAAAAAAACCAGAAAAAAUCAAAAAAUUCCAAAAAAAAAUUCAAAAAAUUUCGAAAAUUAAUUAGAAAAAAUUUCAGAAUUUUUCUUCUGAAUUUUUGGAAUUUUCAGAAUAUGUAAUUUUGAAGGAUUUAGACAGAGAGUGUUCUAAAAAAAGCCAAAAACUUCGAAAAAAAUGAAAAAAUUUUGAAAAAGGCUGAAAAAUUCUAAAAAGAGUUCGAAAAGAGUUUUAAAAAAAUCAGAAAAACUCGAAAAUUCAACAAAUUAAAAAAAAAGUAUUUCCGAAUUGCCGUUUUUGAAAAAAUAUCAAUUUUCCGAAAAAAAAAACCAGAAAAAAUGUGUUUGCGAUAGAAAGGAUUAAAAAAGUAGCAAUUAGAUUUUUUAAAAUUAAUGCUAGGAACUUAUUAAAAAAUUGGAAAAAAAAUCCAACUUUUAUCAUUUUUUAGGUAAAAAUGAAAUAUUUCCAAAUUUUGCAGAUCAACCAACUCGCCAGAAACCCACUUUUACUGGAACGUGCCAUUCUUCUGCUCGGCCUAAGUCUCGUCAUUCUCGACUGUACGUCAAACGCCCGAAACCUCCGUGUUUUACACAAAAUCACCGAAAAAUUCGAAUUUCCACUCAAAAAUCCCUAAAAAUCUCUAAAAAAUUCGAAUUUUCGUUCAAAAAUCCCCAAAUAUUCGAAAAAUUAUAAAUCAAAAACAAAAAAAAAUUCAAAUAAUUUCGGAAAAAGUUUAAGAAAAAUCAAAAAAAAAAGGUCGAAAGAUUCUAAGAAUUUCAAAAAAAAAAUUUAAAAAAAUUCAAAAAAAAACUUUGUUUUAAAAAUGUUUAAAAAAAUUUAAAGAAAUUAUAAAAAAAUUGAAAAAUUUCAAAAAAAACCUUUUUCCCCGUUUUUUGGUCCAUAUAUUUUAUGGAGAAUUUAUUUUUUGAAAAAUAUCUUUUAAAAAAAUCGGAUUUUCAUUUAAAAAAAUUCCAAAAAAUCAAAUUUUCACUCAAAAAUUCCAAAAAAAUCUCUAAAAAUUCGAAUUUUCGUUCAAAAAUCCCCAAACAUUCGAAAAAAUUCACAAAUUUCCACUCCACAAAAAAUCGAUAUUUUUCUUCCAGUCCCAAUUGAAUGGAUCUCCUUGACCUACCGUAUUCCAUUCCUACUUCUUAUUUCGGAUCUUCGUCAAGGUCUCUUCUACACUGUGCUCUUCUCGUUUUGGCUCAUUUUUGCCGGCGAGCAUCUGAUCGAUGAUAAUACCAGAAAUAAUUUGGUAAGGAUUUUUUUUUUUGGAAAUUUUUGAAAAAUUUUUGAAAAUUUUUGAAAAAAAAGAAAAAAAAAAGAUUUUUUACGAGAAAAAACAUGCAAUUUCGCGCCGAAAUUUUUUUGUUUAUUUUUCCUGAAAAUGUGAAAAUUGCCGAUUUGCCGGAAAAUUUCCAAACUCGGCAAGCUGUCAAUUUGCCGAUUUGCCGAAAAUAUUCAAUUCCGGCAAGCUGCCGGUUUGACGAUUUUCAGGCAAUUUUCAUUUCUGCCAAUUUGCCGAUUUGCCGAAAAUAUUCAAUUCCGGCAAUUUGUCGAUUUGCCGAUUUGCCAGAAAUUUUCAAUUCCGGUAAUUUGUCAAUUUUCCGAUUUGCCGGAAGUUUUCAUUUCCGGCAAUUUGUCGAUUUGCCGAUUUGCCGGAAUUUUUCAUUCUCGGCAAAUUGCCGAUUUGCCGAAAAUAUUCAAUUCCGGCAAUUUGGAGAUUUUCCUGUUUGCCGGAAUUUUUCAAUGCCGGUAAUUUGCUGGAUUGUCGAUUUGCCCGAAAUUUUAAAUUUCCGCAAGCUGCAUGUUUACCGGUUUGCCGGAAAUGUUCAUUUCCGCCAAUUUGCCUGUUUACCGAUUUUUUCAAUUUCCCGAUUUUCCGAAAAACUUUCAUUUUCGACAAAUUGCCAAUUUGCCGGUUUGCCGGAAAUGUUGUUCGAUUUUUUGAUUUUCCAAAAAAAAAAAAGUCCCCCAAUAUUUCCAGAAAUCCUACCGCUUCAACCUCUCGUUCAUAAUCACCGCCUCGCUGGGCCUAUUAAUCUACGAUCUCAUCGAACGCGGAAUCCAGCUCUACGAUCCUUUCUACAGUGUCUGGUCAUCACCGACAGGCUCACAGAUCGCCUAUUUCGCGAUUUUCAUCUCCGCCAUCAGCACCGUCGCCUAUUUUAUUUUUCUUUUCUUCAAAAUCGCCAGGGUUUGGAGCACAAUCAAGAGCAAACGGAGUGCUCAAAUCUAUCAAACGAGCGAAAAUCGACGGCUUAAAGUGGAGGGAGUGAUCUACCGAUUCAAAUUUCUGAUGCUCUUCACCUUGCUCUGCUCCGCAUUCACAAUCGCCGCAUAUUUCAUGAAACAAUACGGAGAAGCACAGCUUCAUGGGGAUGAAGCUCGUGAUGGAUUCCUUACUGGAAGCACAUCGGCAUUCUUUACCGGCGCUUUCGGAAUGUGCAAUAUUUAUGUUCUUUUGCUGCUUGCCAUGUACGCCCCAUCGCACAAACAUUAUCGUGGAGCUUCUC
RNAcentral lists this small RNA (3165 nucleotides) under Caenorhabditis elegans. RNAcentral describes it as "Unclassified non-coding RNA R06B9.7". Lineage: Eukaryota; Metazoa; Nematoda; Chromadorea; Rhabditida; Rhabditidae. The record is from RNAcentral.